RNAcentral lists this ribosomal RNA (252 nucleotides) under uncultured bacterium. RNAcentral's name for it is "partial 16S ribosomal RNA". It matches the Rfam family "Bacterial small subunit ribosomal RNA", at positions 524 to 776 of the family's 1533-position model. The record is from RNAcentral.
GACGUAGGGCGCGAGCGUUGUCCGGAUUUAUUGGGCGUAAAGAGCUCGUAGGCGGCUUGUCGCGUCGAAUGUGAAAACUCGGGGCUCAACCCCGCGCUUGCAUUCGAUACGGGCAGGCUCGAGUUCGGUAGGGGAGACUGGAAUUCCUGGUGUAGCGGUGAAAUGCGCAGAUAUCAGGAGGAACACCGAUGCGAAGGCAGGUCUCUGGGCUGUAACUGACGCUGAGGAGCGAAAGCAUGGGGAGCGAACAGG